This 82-nucleotide non-coding RNA is filed under the name unclassified sequences. The record is from RNAcentral.
AACGACCCGCCGCCGGGCGGGUGAGCGCUGGCCCCUGCGUCGUUAGGCCUUUGAAGACGCGGGCGACCGGCGCUUUUUGUAU